GGGUGCGGUCUAGCAACCAGGAUGUUGGACCGCAGGUUGGGGAAUGGUCGGGCCGCCAUUC
This 61-nucleotide non-coding RNA is filed under the name unclassified sequences. RNAcentral describes it as "Li+-I sequence". It matches the Rfam family "nhaA-I RNA". Rfam says of the family: Acidobacteria, Alphaproteobacteria, Betaproteobacteria and Gammaproteobacteria, Verrucomicrobia, cand. division NC10. Downstream gene The record is from Rfam by way of RNAcentral.